UGCCCACAGUAGUAGAUAUGAUGAUUGGAUGAUCAUCAUAUCUACUACUGUGGGCA
This 56-nucleotide microRNA precursor is filed under the name Podarcis lilfordi (Lilford's wall lizard). The record is from RNAcentral. Lineage: Eukaryota; Metazoa; Chordata; Lepidosauria; Squamata; Lacertidae.